This 499-nucleotide ribosomal RNA is filed under the name uncultured bacterium. RNAcentral's name for it is "partial 16S ribosomal RNA". It matches the Rfam family "Bacterial small subunit ribosomal RNA", at positions 28 to 507 of the family's 1533-position model. The record is from RNAcentral.
GACGAACGCUGGCGGCGUGCCUAAUACAUGCAAGUCGAGCGAAGUUUUUCUGGUGCUUGCACUAGAAAAACUUAGCGGAGAACGGGUGAGUAACACGUAAAGAACCUGCCUCAUAGACUGGGACCACUAUUGGAAACGAUAUCUAAUACCGUAUAACAGUAUUUCUCGCAUGAGAGAUAUUUAAAAGUUGGUUAUGCUAACACUAUGAGAUGGCUUUGCGGUGCAUUAGCUAGUUGGUGGGGUAAAGGCCCACCAAGGCGACGAUGCAUAGCCGCCCUGAGAGGGUGACCGGCCAAACUGGGACUGAGACACGGCCCAGACUCCUACGGGAGGCAGCAGUAGGGAAUCUUCCGCAAUGGGCGAAAGCCUGACGGAGCAACGCCGCGUGAGUGAAGAAGGAUUUCGGUUCGUAAAGCUCUGUUGUUAGGGAAGAAUGGAGAUGUAGUAACUAUACAUGUAAGAGACGGUACCUAACCAGAAAGCCACGGCUAACUACGUG